Molecule: ribosomal RNA, 440 nt
Filed under: uncultured bacterium
Lineage: Bacteria
Description: partial 16S ribosomal RNA
Rfam family: Bacterial small subunit ribosomal RNA
Source: RNAcentral
CCUACGGGAGGCAGCAGUGGGGAAUAUUGCACAAUGGGGGAAACCCUGAUGCAGCGACGCCGCGUGAGUGAAGAAGUAUUUCGGUACGUAAAGCUCUAUCAGCAGGGAAGAAAAUGACGGUACCUGACUAAGAAGCCCCGGCUAACUACGUGCCAGCAGCCGCGGUAAUACGUCGGGGGCAAGCGUUAUCCGGAUUUACUGGGUGUAAAGGGAGCGUAGACGGCAGCGCAAGUCUGGAGUGAAAUCCCAUGGCUUAACCAUGGAACUGCUUUUGAAACUGUGCAGCUAGAGUGCAGGAGAGGUAAGCGGAAUUCCUAGUGUAGCGGUGAAAUGCGUAGAUAUUAGGAGGAACACCAGUGGCGAAGGCGGCUUACUGGACUGUAACUGACGUUGAGGCUCGAAAGCGUGGGGAGCAAACAGGAUUAGAUACCCUUGUAGUC